Molecule: long non-coding RNA, 943 nt
Filed under: Musa acuminata (dwarf banana)
Lineage: Eukaryota; Viridiplantae; Streptophyta; Magnoliopsida; Zingiberales; Musaceae
Description: long non-coding RNA (MACU_LNC004367)
Source: RNAcentral
AUGUCACACACUGCUCGGAUAGCUAAACAAGCAUGGACUCAGAAACCAUGAAUCUUGAUGUAUUCCUUCUUCACUAUGCCGGUCUGCAUCCAGAAACACAAUUUGGCAGUCAGUCAGAUGAAAACAUAAUAAAAUUAGCUCACAUCCUCCCCCCAAAAUAUCAGCAAUUUUCCAGUAUCAAGACGACAGAUCUCUAGAUAGCAACAUUUUGGAACAACAUUUCAUGUAGAUUAUCCAAACUCUUCAAGUUGAUAAGGCUAGCCUAGUGGGUCUGCAUUGUGAUUUCAACUAUUUCAACAACUCCUAUGUCAUUGUCGGUCGAUGAUUGUUGGGAGAUCAAGCCCAACGAUUCGAAGAUAACUCUAGUGGGUGUGUUCAAAUUCCAACUAUAUUUCUAAAGAUGUAUUUUCUAGAAAUGUUGAUGCAUGAAUCAUAUGGGAGAGGACAAAAUCAACAGAUACACCACGUGAAUUUUCACAGCAAUAAAAUAUGGUAAGUUGUAGAGUAAAAGCAAAUCGAAUUAACAUGAUGAGGGUGAUUUCUAUCACUCACACCAUUCAACAUGAAGAUGGGUAGGUAUUUCAAUUGUCAGCAAAACUAUGCACGAGACUCUUUAAUUCCUUGAUUCAAGUUCCAAUAGGGUCUCAGAUAUGAGCUGAUGAGCAAAAACAAACAGAAAACAGAAAAGGAGCCCAUUUAUGGGAGCAUAGACUCUCCUCACACUUCAUAAUGAUGUGAUGAUCUCAUAAGAAUAUUCCUACUCAUCCAACAAGGACUUUAAACGGCAACCACAGCUCCAAUACAGGGUCCAAAACACAUUAGGAAAAAUAAAAUGAAUGAUUUCCUAUAACCUGAUUAAUACACUAACAACAAAACUGUGAAGUCCCAACUCUGAUUAAUACACCAGUAAAAACAUUUACUAGAAAAACAAGUUGCUGUACCU